This 570-nucleotide ribosomal RNA is filed under the name uncultured Weissella sp. RNAcentral's name for it is "bacterial SSU rRNA". It matches the Rfam family "Bacterial small subunit ribosomal RNA", at positions 8 to 532 of the family's 1533-position model. Lineage: Bacteria; Bacillati; Bacillota; Bacilli; Lactobacillales; Lactobacillaceae. The record is from RNAcentral.
AGAGUUUGAUCCUGGCUCAGGAUGAACGCUGGCGGCGUGCCUAAUACAUGCAAGUCGAACGCUUUGUGGUUCAACUGAUUUGAAGAGCUUGCUCAGAUAUGACGAUGGACAUUGCAAAGAGUGGCGAACGGGUGAGUAACACGUGGGAAACCUACCUCUUAGCAGGGGAUAACAUUUGGAAACAGAUGCUAAUACCGUAUAACAAUGACAACCGCAUGGUUGUUAUUUAAAAGAUGGUUCUGCUAUCACUAAGAGAUGGUCCCGCGGUGCAUUAGCUAGUUGGUAAGGUAAUGGCUUACCAAGGCAAUGAUGCAUAGCCGAGUUGAGAGACUGAUCGGCCACAAUGGGACUGAGACACGGCCCAUACUCCUACGGGAGGCAGCAGUAGGGAAUCUUCCACAAUGGGCGAAAGCCUGAUGGAGCAACGCCGCGUGUGUGAUGAAGGGUUUCGGCUUGUAAAACACUGUUGUAAGAGAAGAAUGACAUUGAGAGUAACUGUUCAAUGUGUGACGGUAUCUUACCAGAAAGGAACGGCUAAAUACGUGCCAGCAGCCGCGGUAAUAAGGGCGA